Candoia aspera is the source of this 1915-nucleotide RNA transcript. It is a transcript of the gene named microseminoprotein beta, with no coding region annotated. The record is from RefSeq and is a predicted model, not a curated record. The transcript is spliced from 4 exons. Lineage: Eukaryota; Metazoa; Chordata; Lepidosauria; Squamata; Candoiidae.
AAAAAAUUGCUUUAAAUAUGUUUAAACAUAUUCUGAAUAAAGAGAUGUCCAUAAACAGUUCCUCAAGAUGGGAUGGAAGAUUGCCCUCUUCCAAGUGGGUACAGUAAACCUGGAGCUGGAUUUUGGCCCAGCAGAAGGAUAGGGAACCCAUGAGAGGUACUAAGGAUGGGAAGGUAGGAGGAUCCAGACAGGGUGAAUGAGAACAAGCCUGGUAUGGAGGUGAUGGCAGGGUGAAGAGUUCUGGGUGCUGGGUCAAGAGACCAAGACUAAGGCUGGAAAGAGACAGGGACUAGAGGGGGGUUGGCCUUGCACCCAGUUGUUAUCUGCUAUCUCUGAGGAGGCCACACCACCUUUCCCUACUGUUCAGCUCCAUAGACAGCGUCACUGAGGAGAGAAUGAGCAUGCCUGUGUAUUUCUGUGGGAAGGGUAGUGACAACCCCUAAGGAGACCCAGAAGGGAAGAAGAGUGGUCCUGAGGUCAAGUUCAUGUGCAGCUGUGGCCAGAGGAACCAAAUCCUUUUCAGGACUCAGGGAAGGACUGUGACCAAAUGCUCUCCACUUAUUUGCAUCUUGUAAGAAUUGUGCAAUACCUAAAGUUCAAAGGCAGCUUGUGGGUUAAUAGGUUGUGCCCCUGUUAAUAUCCAUUGUAAUUAUUCACUAAAUCUAUUUUUUUCUCCCUUCCCUUCUAUUUUAUAGAAGCAUCUUCUGAUUUUCCUUCUGAUCCUUACCCUUUUAAGGAACUUGUGUGAUGCUCAAUGUUCUGUAAAACCAGUCAGUAGAAAGGGUUGCUUUCAGAAUGGAAAGUGGUACCGUGUUCCUGCUGUUUGGAAAACAAACAACUGCCAAAGAUGUGAAUGUAAACCAAAAGAACUGAUAUGCUGCAGCCUUUCCUCAUAGCCUCCAAGCUGUGGGUCAAGAUUUCCACUGCAUCUCCUGUUCAUUCUGGGGAAAGAGAAAUAAAACUGCGUAUCAUCAGCAUACUGAUAAUACCUGUCAGCCCCUACACUUGUUGAAGUGACAGUGGAAUCAGUUAGCAAGAGAGAGUUUUCAGACCUAUCAACUAUGAUAAGAAGAAAUGCAUUGCCAUAUUUCACCGCCAAAGUUGCUCCAUCCGUGUGGUGAAGAAAAAUGAUCCCACAGAAAGCUGCCAAGUCUUUGCUGGGGUUGGUUAACAGCCUGUGUAGUCCAAGCUUUUUUUUUUUUUUGAAAUCUGGUUUCCUUUCUCCCUUUCCUAAUUUUGAUCUCACAUAUUCCACCUCUGUUACUAAACAAAAUUUAUUGACCAAAAAUUAUUUACAAAAUAAAUGUUGUAGUCAUGAAGAUGACCAUUCUCAAGACUAAAGAUCAGUACUUCCAAUCACAUAAGACAAGUCUGUUAAGAAGUGGUUGGAAAGUAUUUGCCACCAAAACAAUACAUAUUUAAUGGAUUCUUUCUACAGGAACUACAUUGUUUCAACUAUAUCAUUAUUAUGAAUUUUGCCUUCAUAAAGCUGUUAGAACAGGCCCAGUAAUUAAGAUCUAUAUUACGAAAUAUAUAUUUUGGAAAAAUGAGACCUUGACCUAACUUUAAGUGCUUAUAAGAGUCACUAAGCAGAAUCUUUUUAACUAUUAAAGUUGAUCCUGCUAGAUCUGCCUGUUCUUCUUCAGCAUUGCAAAUAAUAAUAAAUACCAAAUAAUUUGGAUAUAUCUAUUGCACAGUUUCUUCUCUUUUCUGUGUUAGUCAUACUGUACCUAGAAUAUUGCAUUAGGAAGGACAUUGACAAAUUGGAGCAUGUUCAGAGGGGAGCAACCAAGAUAAUGAGGGGCCUGAAACAAACAAUCAAACAAAGUUGGGAAUAGUUGGAGGCAUUGUGUAUGGUUAGCUUGAAGAAGAGAAAGAGUGGAGGGAGAAGUGAGAAUUGUUUCCAAGUAUCCAA